This 34-nucleotide ribosomal RNA is filed under the name Schizothyrium inaequale. Its description in RNAcentral is "partial 18S ribosomal RNA". The record is from RNAcentral. Lineage: Eukaryota; Fungi; Ascomycota; Dothideomycetes; Mycosphaerellales; Schizothyriaceae.
GAUUAGUCUCGUAGUGACCUGCGGAGGGAUCAUU